GGCGGUUCUCGGGUGAUGCACCCUUGAAUUGGGCUCCCUCCUCUCUGGUUCUGUGUGUGCCGUCAUCUGAAAACCACA
Myotis davidii is the source of this 78-nucleotide non-coding RNA. The record is from Rfam. Lineage: Eukaryota; Metazoa; Chordata; Mammalia; Chiroptera; Vespertilionidae.